AACACAAAUUACCUGCUCUCCCAGAGAUCAGUCACAUGCAGAAAGCUCUGUCCAAUUCUUUGAAAAGGUGAGAUUUUUUUUUCUUUUUUUCUUUUUGCUGUUUUGAAGUUUGGUGGAAUUUAGAAAUUUUAAGGAGUAAAUUAGAAGCCUGAAUGAAAUGUUUUGAAAUAUACAUAUACAUGUAGAAAACAAAAGACACUGGUAUUUCUUUCGUUUUUAUCAACACAAAUUGAGAAGGAAGACUUUUUGUUUCCAAAAUGUGACUUAGAAAGAUAGAGGGUUCCAUGGCUUGUUGUUGUUAACAGAAAUAAUUUUUUUCAGGCCCAUCACCCCAGAUGCUGCCAAACUCCUAAGCCAGCAUUUCCAGCUACUGGCUGGCUGGUGUAACAGGCCAACUCUUAAUGAGAAUGUAUGGAAAGCCACUCCUGUGGAUUCCUACAAAGUACUUGGGGGGCGGGGGGGGGGGGGGGGGGGGUUGGAGACAAGUACUGUUCAUUCCUUGAGACCAGCACAAUUGUAGAUUAUCAACAUCCUGAGAAGGUUAUUAUAAGUUCUUAUGUAUAAUGUCUUUUUACAGAUAUUGUUAAACAUUCAUUUACAGAAGAAUUUUAAAUCUCUAUUGCAGUAACAGUGUAAGACUACCACUGUAAAAUUGUAUCUGUUUUGCAAAUAAAAAAAUAACAAAGCCAUUUACUAGUGUUACAGAAUAAAGCCAAAGAAAGGAAGACUGUACUAAGGUAAUUCCAGCAUAGAAUUCAUGUUGAACGCAUGCUGUGCAAGAUUCUAUGCUAUCCAGACAAGACCAUCCAUUGGAUCUUUUAGACUAGAAUACAGAUAAAGAAAAUGCAUUUUAGUUUGUACAGAACUUCCUGGCUUUCUAGAGACUAGGGUUCCUGUUAUCUUUGAUUCAAGACAUUAAGAUAUUAAUGACAUAUCUUCUAUAUUCUAGACCAUAGAGUAGGCGGUGAUGGCUACAAGAAUAAAUAAAAUCCCUGUCCUGUGAGGAACUCACAGCCUAAAGCUUUCAGUAAUAACAUCUAAUAUUUAUUGAAUGUUUACUAUGACCUAGGCAUUGAUAAAAAGCUUUAUGUCAAGUCAAUUCAUAGUUAGAACAGUCCUUUAACAUCACUGGAAAUUCCUGUGCUGAAUUCACAUGGAAUUAAAUGGAAAUCUACAAAGCAGCCAGUCUGGGGGGGGGGGGGAGGGUGUUUUCCAUUUUUAAAAUGUUUAUGCCAGAUAUGUGUAUGGUAUAUGUUGGGUUGCAGAAUUAUAACUCAGGAGAAUAGCAAUUUAUUUAAAUGUGACAAAUUUAUUCAUCGUCUGUAAAGAACAAUUCAUGUUCCAAUACCGUUUUCCAGAUUGGAUGGUGAGUUUUUAAAAAAUUAUUGGUAUUGCCAUACUAAAACGAUCUUUAGGUUCCUGCUGAUCUUAUUCUGCAUUUUAACUGCCUUAAAUUCUACAUUCACUUGAAAGAGGGGGCCAAAGUCAGACUGACAACAAGUUUUGCAGACAAAAGGAAAUCCUGGUUGUAAAUCCCAUGAUAUAUUGUACUCAAUUUUGUAUAUAAUACUGUCUAAUGUGCCACCUUAUUAAAGAACUCCAUAUCCAUUUGGCUUACAUUAGGGGGAAACUUAACUGCAGCUUAACAUAUUGUUCAUUUUCAACACUGUCACGUUACAUUCAUAGGGAGCACAUUUUAAUUUCUUUAUCUGUAAUCAACUGGAAGUUUCUUUUUGUUAAAUUAAAGCAAGAAGGGCUUUUAAAUAAAGGGCAUGGGGGUAGGACGCCACCUUUUGGUGGUAAAACAAAUAGAAAUCCCCUUUUCAACAGAUGUUCCUGACAUAAUUGUAUUUUAAUUACACCAAUGCAAAGGUGCUUGUCCCCGUUUGAUUCUGUUUGAAGUAACAGGAAAAAAAAAAAAAAACUGUGAAAGGAAAAUUGGGAAACUAUCCUGAACUGCAACCAAAAGUUCUUCAAAGGUAUCAGAACAUGUUAGGGCCCUGUCACAUACAAUUGCCUAUACAUCAGACACCAACUUUGUUCUGCAAGUACUUUGUUGAUAAAUGUACGCACAUUUGGGGUAACAGAAACUGGGGUGGACAUUUACCACUUAACAAGAUACCUGAAUGCUUUUAUAAGUUUAGAGUUAACCGGAAACUUUAUAUUCACCUAAUUCAGUGUUUCUUUUUAGUUACCACCUUCCUAAUAUUUUGCCAUAUCUACAUAACGUGAUAGUUACUGAAUAAUUUAUGUAGUAUACUCAUUGGACUACAGCUAAUAUGGCAAGUGUAUUAAAUAUCUCCUUUACAUCAACCUACUUUUUCUAUUACUACUUUAAAUGGGAAAUCACUAUUGCACUCCGUGAAUUAAAAACAAACACGAUGAAAACAAAGUCGUGGAUUCCUUUGUUAGAAAGGGAGAGUGGCAAAAAAAAAAAAUUACAAAUUA
This 2448-nucleotide long non-coding RNA is filed under the name Lynx pardinus (Iberian lynx). Lineage: Eukaryota; Metazoa; Chordata; Mammalia; Carnivora; Felidae. The record is from RNAcentral.